AGAAAUCGGGGACAAUCACCGAUAGUCCCGCAAGGGUAAAGAUUUAUCGCUUGGAGAUGGGCCCGCGUCCCAUCAGCUAGUUGGUAGGGUAACGGCCUACCAAGGCUACGACGGGUAGGGGGUGUGAGAGCAUGGCCCCCCACAAUGGCACUGAGACAAGGGCCAUACGCCUACGGGUGGCAGCAAUCGGGAAUCUUGCACAAUGGACGCAAGUCUGAUGCAGCGACGCCGCGUGAAGGAUGAAGGUCGAAAGAUUGUAAACUUCUUAAUUUGCCGAAAGGCAGAGGAUGAAGCCCCGGCUAACUACGUGCCAGCAGCAGCGGUAAAACGUAGGGGGCGAGCGUUGUCCGGAUUUACUGGGCUUAAAGAGUACGUAGGUGUUUCGGGAAGUCUUGGCUUAAAGCCCGCGGCUCAACCGCGGAACGUGUCGAGAUACUUCCGAAAUUGAGGAAGGUAGGGGGUGGCGGAACAUUGCAAGGAGGGGUGAAAUCCGAUGAUCUGCGAUGGAACACCGAAAGCGAAGGCAGCCACCUGGGCCUUUCCUGACACUGAGGUACGAAAGCUAGGGGAGCGAAACGGAUUAGAUACCCGUGUAGUCCUAGCCGUAAACGAUGGACACUAGCUAUCCAGUUUUGGGUGGCGUAAAAGCUAACGCGUUAAGUGUCCCGCCUGGGGAGUACGGCCGCAAGGCUAAAACUCAAAGGAAUUGACGGGGACCCGCACAAGCGGUGGAGCAUGUGGUUUAAUUCGAUGAUAACCGAAGAAUCUCACCAGGGUUUGACAUGCAAGUGGUAGGAAUCCGAAAGGUGACCGACCCGCAAGGGAGCUUGCACAGGUGUUGCAUGGCUGUCGUCAGUUCGUGGCGUGAGCUGUAUGGUUAAGUCCCAU
This 888-nucleotide ribosomal RNA is filed under the name uncultured bacterium. RNAcentral describes it as "bacterial SSU rRNA". It matches the Rfam family "Bacterial small subunit ribosomal RNA", at positions 152 to 1090 of the family's 1533-position model. The record is from RNAcentral.